GUGGGGAAUCUUCCGCAAUGGACGAAAGUCUGACGGAGCGACGCCGCGUGAGUGAAGAAGGCCUUCGGGUCGUAAAGCUCUGUCAUCAGGGACGAACGGCCGGUGGAGUGGAAAGCCACCGGAUUGACGGUACCUGAGAAGGAAGCCACGGCUAACUACGUGCCAGCAGCCGCGGUAAUACGUAGGUGGCAAGCGUUGUCCGGAAUUAUUGGGCGUAAAGCGCGCGCAGGUGGGAUCUUAAGUCCAUUUUUAAAGUUCGGAGCUCAACUCCGUGAUGGGAUGGAAACUGGGAUUCUUGAGUACCGGAGAGGAAAGCGGAAUUCCCCGUGUAGCGGUGAAAUGCGUAGAUAUGGGGAGGAACACCAGUGGCGAAGGCGGCUUUCUGGACGGUGUCUGACGCUGAGGCGCGAAAGUGUGGGGAGCAAACAGGAUUAGAUACCCGAGUAGUCC
Molecule: ribosomal RNA, 450 nt
Filed under: uncultured bacterium
Lineage: Bacteria
Description: partial 16S ribosomal RNA
Rfam family: Bacterial small subunit ribosomal RNA
Source: RNAcentral